GUGAAUUAUUAUGCGAAAAGAAUGCAGCUGCUCUGACUAAAAAUAAUCUAGACAAUAAUAUGUUUAAAGGUAAUCUAUAUUUUAUUAUCGACUGGUAAAAUGUGUAUCGCCAUCUUUCGGUACUAGAUAUUACUUCAAUGUACCGACUAGUAAAAUGAUGCUGCCAUCUAGCGGAAGUAAAUGUUACUAUGUCUUACCGAUUAGUAGAAUAUGUUUCGCCAUCUAGACAAAAGAUAAAAAACCACUAGGACAAAAUCAAGAUGGCUACCUGUCAAUGUAAUUUGAAUACCGUAAAUACAGGCUGUGUGCAGUUGAUCGCCAAUUCUGGAUGAAAAUAAUUAAACUGGAUAAAGUGCUGUGGGACAGUGUUAUGUNAUA
This is a long non-coding RNA of Polistes dominula (European paper wasp), 378 nucleotides long. The record is from RefSeq and is a predicted model, not a curated record. Lineage: Eukaryota; Metazoa; Arthropoda; Insecta; Hymenoptera; Vespidae.